GCUUGGGGGUUUUUCUUCUGGGUGGUGAGUGGCGAACGGGUGAGUAACACGUGAGUAACCUGCCCUCUUCUUUGGGAUAACGGCUGGAAAUGGCUGCUAAUACCGGGUGUGGCCUCGUGCCUGCAUGGGUGUGGGGUGAUAGGGCCAUCGUUUGGUGGUUUGGUGGGGGAUGGGCUCGCGGCUUAUCAGCUUGUUGGUGGGGUGAUGGCUUACCAAGGCUUUGACGGGUAGCCGGCCUGAGAGGGUGACCGGUCACAUUGGGACUGAGAUACGGCCCAGACUCCUACGGGAGGCAGCAGUGGGGAAUUUUGCACAAUGGGCGAAAGCCUGAUGCAGCGACGCCGCGUGAGGGAUGGAGGCCUUCGGGUUGUGAACCUCUUUCGCUCAUGGUCANNNCNNNNNNNNGCUCGUGGUGAGGGUAGUGGGUAAAGAAGCUCCGGCUAACUACGUGCCAGCAGCCGCGGUAAUACGUAGGGAGCGAGCGUUGUCCGGAAUUAUUGGGCGUAAAGGGCUUGUAGGCGGUUUGUCGCGUCUGCCGUGAAAUUCCUUGGCUUAACUGGGGGAGUGCGGUGGGUACGGGCAGGCUUGAGUGCGGUAGGGGAGACUGGAAUUCCUGGUGUAGCGGUGGAAUGCGCAGAUAUCAGGAGGAACACCGGUGGCGAAGGCGGGUCUCUGGGCCGUUACUGACGCUGAGGAGCGAAAGCGUGGGGAGCGAACAGGAUUAGAUACCCUGGUAGUCCAUGCUGUAAACGUUGGGCACUAGGUGUGGGGGCCGCCCUUGGUUUCCGCGCCGUAGCUAACGCUUUAAGUGCCCCGCCUGGGGAGUACGGCCGCAAGGCUAAAACUCAAAGGAAUUGACGGGGGCCCGCACAAGCGGCGGAGCAUGCGGAUUAAUUCGAUGCAACGCGAAGAACCUUACCAAGGCUUGACAUGCACCCUGGGUGGCCUGAGAGGGUCGCGCAUUUGGUUGGGGGUGUGCAGGUGGUGCAUGGUUGUCGUCAGCUCGUGUCGUGAGAUGUUGGGUUAAGUCCCGCAACGAGCGCAACCCUUGCCCUAUGUUGCCAGCACGUUGUGGUGGG
RNAcentral lists this ribosomal RNA (1079 nucleotides) under uncultured Actinomycetaceae bacterium. Its description in RNAcentral is "bacterial SSU rRNA". It matches the Rfam family "Bacterial small subunit ribosomal RNA", at positions 69 to 1135 of the family's 1533-position model. The record is from RNAcentral. Lineage: Bacteria; Bacillati; Actinomycetota; Actinomycetes; Actinomycetales; Actinomycetaceae.